Molecule: ribosomal RNA, 705 nt
Filed under: Trichoderma sp. 4 TMS-2011
Lineage: Eukaryota; Fungi; Ascomycota; Sordariomycetes; Hypocreales; Hypocreaceae
Description: eukaryotic LSU rRNA
Rfam family: 5.8S ribosomal RNA (bases 292-446)
Source: RNAcentral
UCUUGGUCAUUUAGAGGAAUCAAAAGUCGUAAGAGGAAGUAAAAGUCGUAACCAAGGUAUCCGUCGGUGAACCAGCGGAGGGAUCAUUUCCGAGUUUACAACUCCCAAACCCAAUGUGAACGUUACCAAACUGUUGCCUCGGCGGGAUCUCUGCCCCGGGUGCGUCGCAGCCCCGGACCAAGGCGCCCGCCGGAGGACCAACCAAAACUCUUAUUGUAUACCCCCUCGCGGGUUUUUUUUAUAAUCUGAGCCUUCUCGGCGCCUCUCGUAGGCGUUUCGAAAAUGAAUCAAAACUUUCAACAACGGAUCUCUUGGUUCUGGCAUCGAUGAAGAACGCAGCGAAAUGCGAUAAGUAAUGUGAAUUGCAGAAUUCAGUGAAUCAUGCGAAUCUUUGAACGCACAUUGCGCCCGCCAGUAUUCUGGCGGGCAUGCCUGUCCGAGCGUCAUUUCAACCCUCGAACCCCUCCGGGGGGUCGGCGUUGGGGAUCGGCCCUGCCUUGGCGGUGGCCGUCUCCGAAAUACAGUGGCGGUCUCGCCGCAGCCUCUCCUGCGCAGUAGUAUUGCACACUCGCAUCUGGGAGCGCGGCGCGUCCACAGCCGUUAAACACCCAACUUCUGAAAUGUUGACCUCGCGAUCANGUAGGAAUACCCGCUGAACUUGAAGCAUAUCAAUAAGCGGAGGAAGCAUAUCAAUAAGCGGAGGAA